RNAcentral lists this ribosomal RNA (540 nucleotides) under uncultured archaeon. RNAcentral describes it as "bacterial SSU rRNA". It matches the Rfam family "Archaeal small subunit ribosomal RNA", at positions 71 to 594 of the family's 1478-position model. The record is from RNAcentral.
GUGAGACGCAGCAGACGGCUCAGUAACACGUGGCUAACCUACCCUCAGGACGGGGACAAACCCGGGAAACUGGGGCUAAUACCCGAUAGGCGAGGGCGCCUGGAAUGGUUCUUCACCCAAAGGGCUUUGGAAGCAUGCUUUUCAAUGUCGCCUGGGGAUGGGGCCGCGUCCGAUCAGGUUGUUGGUGAGGUAACGGCUCACCAAGCCUAUAACCGGUACGGGCCGUGAGAGCGGUAGCCCGGAGAUGGGCACUGAGACAAGGGCCCAGGCCCUACGGGGCGCAGCAGCCGCGAAAACUCCGCAAUGCACGAAAGUGUGACGGGGCUACCCCGAGUGCCGUCCGCUGAGGAUGGCUUUUCCUCGGUGUAACUAGCCGGGGGAAUAAGGAGAGGGCAAGACUGGUGUCAGCCGCCGCGGUAAUACCAGCUCUCCGAGUUGUAGGGAUGAUUAUUGGGCUUAAAGCGUCCGUAGCCGGCUUAGCAAGUCUCCUGUUAAAUUCAGCGACCUAAUCGUUGAGCCGCGGGAGAUACUACUAGGCUA